This is a small nuclear RNA of Bison bison bison, 107 nucleotides long. The record is from Ensembl. Lineage: Eukaryota; Metazoa; Chordata; Mammalia; Artiodactyla; Bovidae.
AUGCUCACUUCAGCAGCACAAAGAGUAAUAUUAGAACCACACAGAGGAGAUGAGCAAGGCCCCCAGACAAAGAUGGCAUGCAAAUCUGUGAAGAAUUCUGUGUUUUC